GCCCAGGUAGCUCAGUUGGUAGAGCAGUGGACUGAAAAUCCACGUGUCGGUGGUUCAACUCCGCCUCUGGGCACCA
Molecule: transfer RNA, 76 nt
Filed under: Deltaproteobacteria bacterium RIFOXYA12_FULL_58_15
Lineage: Bacteria; Deltaproteobacteria
Also listed under: 1 other name
Description: tRNA-Phe
Rfam family: tRNA
About the family: Transfer RNA (tRNA) molecules are approximately 80 nucleotides in length. Their secondary structure includes four short double-helical elements and three loops (D, anti-codon, and T loops).
Source: RNAcentral